RNAcentral lists this ribosomal RNA (253 nucleotides) under uncultured bacterium. RNAcentral's name for it is "partial 16S ribosomal RNA". It matches the Rfam family "Bacterial small subunit ribosomal RNA", at positions 524 to 776 of the family's 1533-position model. The record is from RNAcentral.
UACGAAGGGGGCGAGCGUUAUUCGGAAUCACUGGGCGUAAAGCGUGCGUAGGCUGUUUGACAAGUUGGGAGUGAAAGCCCAGGGCUCAACCCUGGGAGGCGGGUGGAUACUACGGAACUGGAGUACGGAAGAGGAGAUUGGAAUUCCUGGUGUAGCGGUGAAAUGCGCAGAUAUCAGGAGGAACACCAACAGCGAAGGCAGAUCUCUGGGACGUUACUGACGCUGAGACGCGAAAGCGUGGGGAGCAAACAGG